AUGAAAUGUUCUUCUAUGCUUUCUAUUCCUUCUAUCACACACAUAUGCAAUCUGGUGAAAAAAAAGCAGCAACUCAACAUUGUCCUGAAAGACUUGUGCAUCCCAAAGGACUCAUUGCCUAUUAGGACCCCACAGCUUGGUUCUCAAUCUCAAGUGUGGUUCCAAAACUCUGGAAUCUCUCACCAAACACCUUAUAAAAAAUUCCAGGAUAAAAUUGCUGUGCUUCCUUUGAAAGGAAUCAAAGAACUCAAAACUGUGAUUAAGUAUUAG
Non-coding RNA from Vicia faba (fava bean), 270 nucleotides. Lineage: Eukaryota; Viridiplantae; Streptophyta; Magnoliopsida; Fabales; Fabaceae. The record is from the annotation of a GenBank genome assembly.